Lepus europaeus (European hare) is the source of this 1949-nucleotide RNA transcript. It is a transcript of the gene named cytochrome c oxidase assembly factor 4 homolog, mitochondrial, with no coding region annotated. The transcript is spliced from 4 exons. NCBI's taxonomy places the organism in Eukaryota, Metazoa, Chordata, Mammalia, Lagomorpha, Leporidae. The record is from RefSeq and is a predicted model, not a curated record.
AUUCCCCCUCCCCUUCCGUGUUUGCGCGCCCGACCAGGGGAUGGUUCCAGGGAGGAAGAAAGAAAGAGCCCCCAGCGGCCUGCAGAACUGAGGUCACCGCGUCGGAACGCGUGUUCGGGUCCUCUCCUCCCACCUGUUCGGCAGAGUGGAUAAUGAGAGAGAGAGACAGAGAGAAAGGUCUUCCUUUUUGCUGUUGGUUCACCCUCCAAUGGCCGCUGCAGCCGGUGCAUCUCGCUGAUCCGAAGCCAGGAUCCAGACUCCUCGGGAUGUCAUCCUCUGUGCCUCAAGGUCAUACCUGGGUCCGACAAGUGAAGAAGGAGGAUGAGGAGGAGGACCCCCUGGAUCAGCUAAUCUCCCGCUCUGGCUGUGCCGCCUCCCAUCUGGCAGUGCAGGAGUGCAUGGCCCAGCACCAGGACUGGCGGCAGUGCCAGUCACAGGUGCAGGCCUUCCGGGAUUGCAUGAGUGAGCAGCAGGCAAGGCGGCAUGAGGAGCUGCAGAGAAGGAAAGAGCAGGCCAGUGCUCGCCACUGAGACACCAAACCACCUGUCCCCAGAGAUCACGAGAGGAAGAGAUCCUGAAUGCUGGAAGUGUGGGCCAGGAGAUAUAUAAAUUUUGAAAAUCAGAGUAUGGCUUCUCCUGAAUGCUUUCACACGUCAUCACCAAGUAGAAACACUGUAAGUUAAGCCAUUGUAAAUUAGGUGCCAUUUGUAUUAAUUUGUGCAGUUAAAAGCAACAGGUCAUGGGAGAGGAUGGGUGAUACCACCAGAGAGAGGAUGAAAGGGCCUCCUUAGUGGGAGGAACGGCUUACAAUCAGCCAAGCAGAGCAAGCACAUUUUGAAGGACUCCUGUUCCUACACGGGGCCAGCCCUGGGUGGGUCCGAGAACGGAACAUGUUUGAUGGGGCACAGGGUUGUGUUACCCAACCAGUUUCCUCAAGGAAAUGGGCAUAAUUCCUAAUUUGUAAUCCUAGUAAGAGAAUUAAAUAAGGAAAUCACAAAUAAUAAAAGUGUCCCCAUUGAUUGCAGUGUUAUCACCUAAUAUUUAUAGAUCAUUUGACUCAGGCAGUCCAGUUCCAGAGCUAUGUCCCAAGCCUAUGACAGGCUACCUUGAAACCCCAUUCAGGACCCUAGCUAGCCAUGUGACUUCACACAGCUUAUUUAAAGUUUCAGGAUCCAUAUUUUCACCUGUCCAAAUCGCAGAUGGGACCUCCCAGGCUCGGGACUCACCAGUGCAGACCUCCCUCCCAAGGCUGUUCCAAGAAUGAGUCUGCAUUGGUGAUGAGCUUAGAAACCGCAUCUGGCCUGAGGACAGCUUUGUGCGGCCCUUCACUGCUGUCGUUAGUGCCUGCGGGAGACUGGUGGAGUGGGUCAUCUAACGGGACCCCCGCAGUGCUGCCCUCCCUCCCCUUGUGGGAGAGGGAAUGUGGGUCCGACGGGGCAGCAGACUGAGUGUUUCUGGCUCUAAAGCCCAGGCUGUUCUGUGCUCGGUGCUUUCUUGCUAGCGUCCUGAGCCCAUGACAGUGCCUAACUCACUGGGAGUAACCACCUGGCUCCAUAAAUCCUGCUCCACUUGCCUCAGCUUUGACAGAAAGGAAAGUAGCCAGUGCAAGCUGGACUAGUAGGUUUUUCUUUAGUCUCAGUUCUGCCACCAGUCAUGGGGCUGGUGUUUCUGGUGGUCCACGCCUGUCCCCAGAAACCUUCCCCUGCCUCUGGCAGCUCAGCAGUGCUCUGCAGAGAGGCUUGGUGCCAGGGCCGGGUGGCGGCCUCAGGAUGUAGCUCUUCCCUGCAAGGUGUUUGGCAGGGCCUUGGGCAGAUGCUCAGUACAAAGGUGCACCAUAAAGAGGUGCACCUUUAUGAGGAAGAAGAUACUCUUUGGGGCCAAAGCUGUAGCGUAGUAGGUUAAGCAUCUACUUGCAGCACCGGCAUCCCAUUUGGGCACCAGUUCGAGUC